Molecule: long non-coding RNA, 3137 nt
Organism: Sus scrofa (pig)
Lineage: Eukaryota; Metazoa; Chordata; Mammalia; Artiodactyla; Suidae
Source: RefSeq, a predicted model, not a curated record
CUCGGAGAGGGUGGGGAUGUCAGAGGCAGGUAGGCCCUUAAGUCCAUAAAAGAGCUAACAGCCUCCCUUCAAUAAUUAUAUCUCUAUAAAAAAUAAUAAAGAAGAUACAGGGCCACAAUUUUAUGGGCUUUAUGCUAAUGUGAUGCUGGAACUCACCAGGAGAAGGUACCACCGAAGACACUGGCGCGUUGCUGGGAAGCACAAUCUGUCUGUCCAUCAGGCGUACCUAGUGCAGCGAGAUUUCCAUGCGAGUGGACACCCUGGGCCAUGGUCCGUCCUGACCCUCGUCCUCUCUCAAUCUGUAUUCUGCUCAGACUCCACUGAACCCUUCAGGCUUUAGAAUGUCCUGCCUGUUUGCUGCAGUGCUGCCAAAUUAACUCCCCUGGUGGGAAAUAACUGAAAAAAUGCCCAUCAUGGACUCCUCCUCCUCUGUGGAAGGGCGAAAAUAUUCUUGGGUGGAAAUUGCAUGCAAAGAGCAAAGGCUGGUACCUUCAGCAGGUUUCUCUACUCUCAGAUUUAACUCUUCCCACUAAGACCCCAGUCCCCUGACCUUCAUUUUUUUUUGCCGUGCAGGGGACAGGGUGCAAAUUCUUCUGGACGUUAGGAUAACAAAGUGGCCAGUAUGUGUCUGCUGUUACUCCGUACGUGUAGCUCUAUGUGCUUCUACCUUAGCCUCGUAAUGAGCAGUGGCCUGUGAGGUACCCAGGCAAGGGACAGGUGACCUGGCCUAAUUUCAUGUGUAUUCCUCAGCCAAUGUCUUUCUGAUCACCAGUGAAAGAGUCUCCGGGACUGGCAUAGCCGCGGCUGGCACUCAAUAAGAUCAUACUCUUGGCUUUAAUUCCAUUUAAAUCCACAUUCUUGCUGGAUUUGUAGCCACAUUUAAAGCAGAUCCAGGUCUUUUAGGAAAGGCCUCCAAAUACCCACUUAAGGAGCUGAAAACGGUAGCGUUGACAAGGCUGGCAGUCCUUUUCCCCUUUCUGCGUGUAUAGACCCCCUGCAGACUGGCGCAUCUGCCCCCGUGCAAGAGUGGAGGUGGCCGUCCGGGGGAGAGCCACUCACGCGGCAGGCUCUGCCUGGUCCGAGCUGUGCUUGUCACACUCCAGGCCUCUUUUGAGAUCUGAACUCCUUUGGCCAAGUAGAAACCCAGUGUCUUGAAAACAAAACAACCCUCCAUCACACCUCUGAUUUGAUAAGCAAAGGUUUACAAAUAAAAAUAGAAAUGCUUUGCCCAAGGAAGCCACACUUGAAAAUCCUAAGGGCACCCGCUCCACUGCCACCUCACAUGCAAUCCCGCCAGCAUGCUGGCUCUCCCUCCGUGUGAACUGGAAGAUGACGGGACAGCAGAGGAAACACACACAGAACCUUUGAUAGCAGAGCAGGGGAUCGGUUGGUGCCAUGAUAUACAUAUUCAUAACCUGGCACUUCUAGGAGCUGGGGUAGGCAUUAGGGACCAGUGGAAAAAAAAAAAGUUGAUUUAUGAUGAUCUCAAAAACAUGCUCUCCAAAGAUGUAUUCUGCAGCUCCGAGACCUCAGGUUUAGGCUCUAUUAAUUUUACAGAGCUGUCUGGGAUUACCCAUCUGUUUAAAGGUUAACUGUCUUCACACUUAUGAAAUGGGUAUUUCUGUUUGGGUUCUUACUUUGUUCCUGUUAAUGAUUUAUAAAAUACAAAAUGCAAAGCCAGUGAAAUAGCUUUAAAUCUUCAGGAUGAAAUACCUACCUGACCACAUUUUUGAGAGACACAAAGCAUUAUUCAAGUCCUUUGCAGCGACAACCUGGAAAUUCUGCUACUUGACACGUCUCAUUUUGAAUAGAGUGAAAGGAAAACAUCAACCAUGCAAAAUCAUGUAUUUUAGAAAGGAAAAUCCAUUUGGAGAUCUGCAUUCAUGCUCUGGAGGCUUAGCUGUAAGACAUAGCAUUAAUUAUAAUGGUUUUCUACCAUCAUUAACUAGAUUUCAAUGUACAACGUGAACUGAAGAAUUGUCCUUCGGCACCUCCAAAUUGCAGAACUUGAACACCUCAAAACACAUGCACCGGACCCUAGGAUGCCCAGGCUGGGAGCUUGCAAGUCAGCUUAAACGGGGUGAAUUCACUUCAACACCAGGGAGAAGAUGCUCUUUCAAUCACUAAAACUUUCAGUGGAUCUAACUGAAGCAGGCUUGGUAUUUCCUUCUGGCUACCAGCUCUCAUGUUAAUCACACUUCAUUGUCCUAUGUCUUCCUCUUCAUCUACUGCCCAUCAAUUUAUCAAUAAAGCACUUCUGAAUUUCACCAAGUAUCCAACUUCCUUCUUCUGAGGUCUUCACGGGAUCAACAUUUUUGAGACUGCUCUUUUUCACUUAAAAACCAAAAUGGACGCAUCAAUUCCCACAACUCUUUCCCUCUCCCUCCUAAAGUCCCUUUUACUUUCGCCAUGUCUGCAGCCCAUUGGGACAAACAUUUCCAAAUCUCUGGGCUACUCUGUAAAAAAGAAGCUUUAUUGAGGUAUACUCUAUAUUCUGUAAAGUUCAUCUAUUUGAAGCAUACGACUCAAUGAAUUUUAGAAAAUCCACAAAAUUUUGCCAUCAUCACCAUCACCUAACUUCAGAAUGUUUCCAUCACCCCAAAAGAAACUCUGUUCCCACUGGCAGUUGUUCCACACUUCUUGUUGCCUGACCUACAAGAGUCCCAGGCAACCACUACUCUAAUUCUCUUCUUUAUGAACUUGCCUAUUCUGGACAUAUCAUAUAAAGGAAAUCAUGCAACAAGUGGUCCUUUGUGACUAUCAUGAGGUUUUUGAAGUUCAUCUGUGUUGUGGUGUGUGUCAGACUCCAUUCCUUUUCAUGGCUGAACAGUAUUCCACUGUACAGAUAUAAUAUGUCUCUUUAUCCACUUCCCAGUUGACAGACAUUUGGGCUAUUCCCCAUCUAUACUGAAAUCUUGCAUCUGGGUCUGACUGUAUGAACAGGUCCAUGCUACGAAUUCCUCUUUCUCCAUCAGAGGCUGUGAAGCUCGUCUCUCUCUGAGCAGCCCAGAAGUCCUCAACCCAUAGCUUUGGAGAUAUUACCUGGUCCAUAGUUUUUCUAAAUAAUCUUCUUCCUGUCUCUUCAGCUUGUACCCUGUAGUCUAAUCAGUCAACCAAUGGGUGUAUUUUAUAUAAAC